CGGGUGAGUAAUGUAUGGGGAUCUGCCUGAUGGCGGGGGAUAACUACUGGAAACGGUAGCUAAUACCGCAUAACGACGCAAGACCAAAGAGGGGGACCUUAGGGCCUCUUGCCAUCGGAUGUGCCCAGAUGGGAUUAGCUAGUAGGUGGGGUAAUGGCUCACCUAGGCGACGAUCCCUAGCUGGUCUGAGAGGAUGACCAGCCACACUGGGACUGAGACACGGCCCAG
RNAcentral lists this ribosomal RNA (228 nucleotides) under uncultured bacterium. Its description in RNAcentral is "partial 16S ribosomal RNA". It matches the Rfam family "Bacterial small subunit ribosomal RNA", at positions 103 to 334 of the family's 1533-position model. The record is from RNAcentral.